GAUUUGGACCAGGCUCCUGCACUGGGCCAGCAGACCAAACCAAUGCAGAGUUCAAUCACAGUCACUGAGUUUUGCUUCAUUGCACGAGGCCCUGUAGCCAACUGACUAACUAAGCUGCAGCCAAUUGACUGGUUGAUGAGCCAGGCUGUGGCUGAUUAAGUUGUUUUCUCGGCCUCAUUUCGAUUUUUCUGCGAACGCUGUCUGAGCAGGCUUCAGAACCCGCUCUGCCCUCGAAGCUGCCUGAGGUGUGCAUCGUGUCUUGCUUUGGCUGUCUUUGGUCACAUACACUCUGCUGAGUCUAACCGGACUAAAGGACAAGGAUAAGAAAUUUUCUUUUCAGCAGUUUCGGCAUGUCAGCAGGGUCUGAGCCGGGAGCAUCCAGUCACCAAGCACAAGGACCUUGGAGGCCGUGGUGCUAUUUCUGGUGGCCACUGGGGAUUGUGGAAUCAUGUCACCUGGAGCCUGUACCCCUGAGUGCACCUGCCCAGAGGGACACCCCACAGGCAAAAUGGAAGAGCCUCCUGGCUUUGUGCACCACUGCAAGCGUCGGAGAAAGCUACAUCUGCCCUCUCCUUUCUCUACCCUGCCUUGGAGCCAGCCAAUUACAGACUGAAACCCCUAAACACUAU
This 629-nucleotide long non-coding RNA is filed under the name Fukomys damarensis (Damara mole-rat). Its description in RNAcentral is "lncRNA (ENSFDAG00000024374.1)". Lineage: Eukaryota; Metazoa; Chordata; Mammalia; Rodentia; Bathyergidae. The record is from RNAcentral.